Non-coding RNA from Callithrix jacchus (white-tufted-ear marmoset), 8270 nucleotides. The record is from RefSeq and is a predicted model, not a curated record. NCBI's taxonomy places the organism in Eukaryota, Metazoa, Chordata, Mammalia, Primates, Cebidae.
GAGCUCUGGGCCUGACCAGAUUCCCCCAGCCCCCAUCCCGUCCCUACAGGGCUCCCAGGCCCGGACCUGCGCUGUGCGUGGCCCUCGCCAAAGCUGUCGUUCGGGCUAUUAAUAUUUGCUAUGAAACAAAGACACCCCAAAUUCAGUGGCUUAAAACAACCCUUUUAAUCUCGCACAUUUCUGAGUCCUUCUGACCCACGUGGUGUCUACUGGGGCUGCUGCUUCUGCGGCUCGGCAGGCUGGCAGGCACCGCACGGGGCUGGCCCUCCACGGGCUGGCCUCCCAGCCAGCAGAGACCUCCUUUUUCUUUGUUUUUGGGAAGUGUACCUGGUCCUCAGGUCUUCUGCAGCUCACAGGGAUUGACAUGAUCCUUCCCCAGGAUUUUUCUGCUGUAGGCAGUGGAAAGACUGUCUCUUCCCAUGGGGUCGCCUUCCGGGAAGAUUGUGACUCCAGGCUGCCAGCAGAAUGGCUCACCGGGGGAUGGUUUGAGGGAAAGAAGUAGAGACUUGACUUCUGACACUCACGACCAAGGCUGCUGCCACACUGGAAUAGGAUGGAAAGAGGGCAGGUCCUUUGAAAGGUAUUCCAGAAGAAGUCAUUGUUUUCCAAAGAGGUGACAGCUCCGUGUAUGUUAUUGCCUCUGAAGACCUUCCAGUGGGACAAGAUGUCGAGGUGGAAGACAAUGAUGGUGAUGAUCCUAACCCUGUGUUGGCCUAGGCUAAUGGGUUCCUUGUAAGAACCAGAGAGGGAUAAUGCACGUAAAGAACCCAGUCCUGUGCUGGUCCAUGGCAAGUGCUGAAUUAAUAACAAUGUUAAUUACAACAGAAGCCCACGUGUAUGAUGUCAGGCCCAGAGGAUGAUGUGGAGGAGCAAGAUGAAAAACUGUGCCUCGUUUGAUGAUAUAUGCCAUUGUGAACAGUAGAGAAUAGGUGAUGCCUGUUCUGGACAAAUGGGCCUCAUGUUGGUCAACCGCAGAAGAGACUGCAAAUUCCUGUUUUGGAUGUUACUGGGAGUGCCAGAAGAAUAUGACAUGCGUGUGUCACAUUCAGGAGCCUGUGGGCUCUAGGUUGGAGUGUUGAGACCAUUCCCAUCUGAUGAUGCACUGGAUGAGCGGAUUCAGCACAGCUGUGGGAUGCAUUUUCCGAUGGAAGGCUCCCUGCAAAGUGUUGAGGAAGGUGGUCAGUGCAGUCUUGGGCGUCUGCUCUCAGCUCCACCGGUCUCCAUGUCUCCUCGCACUCCUCACCAGACUCUGCUCCUGGAACCUUCUCACACCAUCUGAGCCAUGGCUGCUUUUUGGGAAAAAAAUCUGCCCUUCAUCACUUACAUCUCAAUGGUACCUUAUGAUGUGGCCUGGUGCGGAGCUCCAGCGGAGGACCUGCCCUGAAGAGAAGUGGCAAUGUCUGGUGACCAGUGUGGAAAACUCCCAACCCAGCCUGUGAGGAAAAGUCUGCAGUCCCAUGUGACCCGGGGGGAUGGGAGUAGCUCCUGCAGGCAAACAAGGGUCAAACAGCAGAAGGAACCCAGAUCCCGGACCUGAAGAUCCACGCUCUGGGUGAAGAGUUUCAUUUCCUCAGCUUGUUAAUCUUUAUUAGAAAAGUCAUUUGGAGGAUUUUAAAAGAGCUUUGAACUCACACAAAACUCAGCCUACAAAAUUGUCAUGUCCUCAGGGAACCCAAAGAAGAAACAUUUGGGAGCAGUUGAUGACAUGGGUCCCUGCCCUCUCCCCUGCUGUCCCUCCCAGAGAACUCUGUGGCUUGAGAGGGGGCAGCAGAGAUCGAAACAGCAGGGGGCCUGGGGGCUCCAUUUAGAGGCCUGUUGCAUGCUGAGCUCAUGCCAGUAUGGAGUACUAUCCUCACUUUACAUGUGAGGACAAGGCAGGGCUCAGGUUAAAGCAAUUGCCAGGGCCACACAGCUGGGAACCUCAGGGUGAGGUGAUUGGAACCCCAUCCUGACCCUGUUCCCUGCAUUGCCCCCUAAAGCCCUUUAAGAUAACCCCCUCACUCCCAGUGCCCCUGACCCAGGAGAGCUUGCCUAAGCAGGUCAUUCUGGGUAGGAAGAUCUGGGGGUAUUUACGGACCUAGGAGCCUCUCAAGAGGCUCUCAGUGCCCGGCAAGAACUGCUGGCUGUGUCUGACAUUUCCCAGUGCAGGAAUAAGACUGCCUGCCUGUGGCUUGGUGAGCCCAAGGGAGGCAGAGAAGGCAGAGGCCAGAAACAAAGGGAAGACUCUCAGGUGCUGGGAGUGCUGUGGGUCCUGGUCCAGAGGAAGCAGGUGCAGGGUGGUGUCACAGGGUCUAUGGGCUGUGUGAGUCCUCGGAGCUUGGAGCAUGGACCUUCAGGCCCCACUCCAGGCUGGAGCAGCCGUUCCCGAAAGCUCCUUCUAUAGCAGGGAAACCCCAUCACUCCAAACAGGCCCUGAGGAACGAAACAUCUGCGCUUAAUUUUUCCUUUCUGUUUCCCUCUCCCCUGGCAUUUGGCUGAAGUCUCCAGGACCAGAUAUGCUUUGUAGGGGAAAGAGCUAAAUCCUCACAGCAAGGCCCUCUUCCCUGUCGACUCCCACCCUGCUCAGCACCUUGGAGAGCCUGGAAGGGCUGGAAAUGGACAGGGUUAAGCUGUGUAGAUAUCGUGGCCGUCGGUCUUCCCAGUAGCCAUGUGUGGCAGGCAUGUCUAUCUCCAUUUCAAAGAUGGAGAAACUGAGGCCUAGGGAGAUUAGAGUGGUUUUCUCCAGGCUGCCUGGUUAGUAACAGGUGAGCAAGGCACUGCCCCAGGUGUCUGACCUCAAGGCCAGUGCUGUCUGCACAGCCACUGCAGAGAGACGAGGGAGGGCCCAAAGGUGGAGUUGUGGGGGCCGUGUGGGGUGCAGUGCCGCAUGCUGCCCAGCUCCUGGGUGGUCCUCCUGCUGCUGUGGGGAGAGUGUGAACCACUGGGGAACCAGGGCUCUGUCAAGAAGGGGUGGAGGGGACUUUUGAGCUGCAUUUUGGGGGACGUGGGGUUGGCCUUCGAGUGGAGACGGGCAGCCCCAAGUUGACAGAGUGGAGACAGCUGCUGCAGAGGAGAGGUGGAUUCCCAAGUCUUGAGGGAACAGAGUUUUCUGACAGGUUGACUUGGAUCACUCAUGUUUGUAAGGAGUGGCUUUCUGACACCUGGAGACUGCAUCUGCCGCAGUGUGGGCCCCAGGCUCAUGGGGAUUCAGGGAGAGUCUCAGCACAGCCCCUAAUCAGCCACGUGGCCUUGGGCAAGUCACUUACCCUCUAGGGAUAAUAACAGAGUUGUAGUCGGACUUAUUUAAAACAGGUGGUGGAAAGUGCUGAGCCCACGCCAGCAGGUAGGAAGCAUGAUUGCCGGUGAUGAGCACUGUUAUUACUGCAGUGGGGUGGGGGUAGGGAGCAGCUUGACAUGGGAGCUCAUCCAGCAGUGAUGGGAUGGUCUGGCUGGUGCUACAGGGGGUAACUGCACUGGGAGAAGGUAGAAACUGAUCACAGUUAAGUCCUCUCUUCUCGUUUUUGAUAAUGCUUUUGAGGAGCUGGGUGAGGCCUGGGCAGGUUACAUGGCCCCCUGGGACCUCAGUUUCUUCCUUUGUAAGCUUUCCGCUCUUGCCAGGGUGAUAGGAUGGCAAUUCAAUCCAACAAGGGUCCUGUUGGUGACUGAGCACUGUGUCUCAGAGGGAGAAGGAAGAAUGGCUUUGUACUGCAGAGGCACGGGGUUAGGAUGGCUUUCCUAGGGCAUGGAGGUUCUGCAGAUUCCUUGGGCUCUGAUCUCAGCCCCUCCACUGGUGUUGGUCUAGGGCCCUUGGCUUGAGAGCCUCAUCUUCCCUGCACUGGGCUCUGGUGCUCACUGAAGCAGAGUGCACAAAACUCCCGGUAAAGGCCUAGUAAUGUGGCUCGGAAUUGGGUCCUCCAGGGUUAUUAGAGCCAUCCGUCUUAAUUAUACUGAAAAUCACUUAUGCGUUUUCCAUGAUAACACUGCAUUAGCAAUUUCCCAGCUCUGAGCCAUCUCCUGGCAGGGCUGUCACUCUCAGGGUGGAGUGUUUUCUGCAAGUCACAGUCACAUUUCUUUGUUCUCCCUCCCUUGGUGGGACGAUGGGCUGGGUAUGACAGAAUCCUUUCCUUGUGGGCCAUAGAUGCAGGGUCAGGCCCUGGGGAGACUGAACCCUCCUGAGUGCGGGGUGGGCACUGCCUGGAUUCUUCACACCGAGCAUGUGAUUCAACCCUUUGCAUAACCCUGGGAGGUCCAUGUGCUUAUUGCCAUUUACAGACAAGAAAACAGAGGCUCAGAGAAGCUAAGAACGUGUCCAAAGCAACUCCCUCAGAAAUGAGGCUUCAGGAAGAAAAACUCUUCUGCUUUCCUUUGAUGUGUUCGAAGAUGCCCCCUCCACCUCCACCCUUCAAUCCCACCGCUGCAGUUUCCAUUCUGGCUUUGCCAGGAAGAUGUGAGAAGAAAUGCUUUCCUCAGGCCAGGUGCCGUGGCUCAUGCGGAUAAUCCCAGCACUUUGGGAGGUUGAGACGAGUGGAUCACCUGAGGUCAGGAGUUUGAGAGCAGCCUGGCAAGCAUGGUGAAACCCUGUCACCACCAAAAAUACAAAAAUUAGCUGGGCGUGGUGGUGGGCACCUGUAAUCCCAGCUACUUGGGAGGCUGAGGCAGGAGAACCUGGGAGAAAAAGCAAAACUCUGUCUCAAAAAAAAGAGGAAAUGCUUUCCUCAUUUGAUGUAUCCUCCCCACAGAGCCCCCAGAAAACAUGCACACAGCACACACACGUACACACACACCCUCUCUCUCUCUCUGUCCCCACCUCCGACAACUCCCUCCUUUGUCUAAUACAGUGUCUUGGUUUCUCUAGAGGGUCAACGGGGAGGGCUAAGGGUGGGUUCCUCACUCGCUACUCACAUGGAGGUGACCCUGAAAGUGACAGAAAAUUGGACCAUGUGCUGACCAAGAAGAAAAUGAACUUGGUGCUGGCCUCAGGAGGCAGGAGCCAGGGCAGACCUGGGAGUAGACCCGGAGAGCGCAUGUCUGUGGGUGCCCCAGUCUGAGGGCUCUGGCCUGAGGGGUUCCUCCUAUGGGUCUUGAGACUACUGGGAACAUAGAAAGCAGAAGCCAAGAGACAAAUAUUGGGAGGGAGAAAAAACAAGACAGACGUCGUGUAUGCCAACCACAUGGCAUUUUGCCUCAGGGGAAAUGAGUGAAGCCUCUGAGCUUUGAAGGGCUUGGGCAGGGAAAAGAGGGGGAAGCGGGGAGGGCCAGCAGGCCCUGAGCGGGGAGGUGUGGAUGGGGAGGGAGGGACAGGGAGAUGGAAAUUGGGUGGAGCCUCUGCCUGCCCUGGGAUCAGCAGGUGGUUUGGAGGAGGCGAUUCUUGUGGGUGAGGAAGUGGGUGGAGGGGGCAAGAGAGGAAAGUCUGGCAGGGAUCAGAUACGAUUCACUGCCAGUGACAGGGUCACCCAGAGGAGGCUGCAGGAAGGCAGGGGCAGAGCCCUGUCUCUCCUGGACAGGAGCAGGUGCAUGGGGAGCGGAGGCCCAGUCGGCGGGUGCAGGCGAGGGGGCGCUAUGGGGCAGCACCACCUGGCAAGCCACGACCACCUGACCACCUGGCGGAAACGGUGUGUUUGGGGCUCUGGUUGAUGGGCCCGACCGGACUAGGGGGUUUGAAGGGUCGGCAUCUUUUGCCUGGUCAGUCCUGUGGGGCCGGGCCAUGCUGGGCACAGAGCCUUUUAUUGCAGCGGGGCUGGGGCCAGACUGGAUGCCUGCUGCUGGAGGGCACUUAGCUUCUCCGGACAUGGCCUGGCUUCUGGGUUCAGCCGCGGGGAGCCCUGAGUUGCAAGGCCGUAGAAGCACUUUCCAGCACAGAUCUUCAGGGGCUGCCCUGUGGGUUGACCCUGACGUCCCCACUUCCCUUUGCAUCCCAGACACCCUGGGCCAGGGGGUGCAGAGUUCAGGGCCUGCAGAGCAUGUCUCCCCAUGAAGCCAUCCUUGGGUGAGUACCAGGAAAGCGGGCUGAUGAAUGGGCUUCCACUCUGAGGUCCUGACAGCUGCCUUCCCUGCUGACUCAGCUCAGGAAAGUUGCCGUGGCAGCAGAAACUUAGCUAAGAGCAGGAAAAUAAGGCACGAGGCCCCAGUGCAGUCUGUGGUGAAGGAGUGAGGUUUGACAGAGGCCCUGAACCCUGGAGGACUUGGGAGGGGCCUGGAACCCCCAUCCUGGUCCACCCCAGCCUGGGAGGGAGCAGCAGCAGCACAAGUCCGUGCCUGGAUGGAGGCUUUAUUUGCCCAGUGCCCCCCCAGGCAUCUGGCUGCCAAACCACGUCACCUUUGGGAGCUGAGAUGUAGGUUUCCUGGUUCCCAUGUGAGGAAUCUGAGGCCCGGGGGAAAUCAUAACACACAUCCAGCAGGGUAGGAUGGACCGGCUGGGCCUGGCGUGGGGCCCACCUGUGCACUUUGCACCCACUGCCUCCUCAGCCCUCACAUCUCCCCUCUUCAGCCUCCCCAACAUGUGGAGGCUGGGGGUGUGCCCAGAGGCUUCCCAGAGAGAUGGUCAGGGCUCUGCAGAGAAACAGAAUCAGUAGGAUAUAUAUCCUACUGAUAUAUGUGUAUAUAUACACACAUAUGAUAUUCUAUCUAUCUAUCUGUCUACCUACCUACCUACCUAACCUACCUACCUAUCUCUGGAGAGAGAGAGGAGAGGAGAGGAGAGGAGAGGAGAGGAGAGGAGAGGAGAGGAGAGGAGAGGAGAGGAGAGGAGAGGAGAGGAGAGGAGAGGAGAGGAGAGAGAGCAGAGGAGAGAGAGCAGAGGAGACAGGUUGACAAGUUCAACUUCUGCAGAGCUGAUAUCCUAACUUGAAGGCCAUCAGGCAGGAGGAAUUCCCCCUUGCUCCACUUAGAGUCAGGUCAAACUUUUCUCCCAUUCAGGCCUUCCAUGGAUAGGAUGAGGCCCAACCACUUAUCGAAAGGAAUCUGUUUUACUCAGCCUACUGAUUUGAUGUUUAUCCACAGACACAUCUAGAAUAAUGUCUGAACAACUAUCUGGGCAUCCUGUGGCUUGGUUGAGUUGACACAUAAAAUAGGCAGAGCUGCUGCAGCUGCCUGGACAUGAGCUCCACCUCUGAUCCUGUUGUUUCAUCUGUAAAGGGGAUGUCGUAAACCUGUGUGAGGCUAACACGUUGACACCUCCUAUGAGCCAUAAUGUGUGUGGUCCAUGGUGGCUCUGUCGGACUCACCCUGGGCAGUGUCCAUCAGCCCUCCCAGAAGGGACCCACACACAGUGUUAUCACUGCUUUUAAGUUCUCACUAACUGUUCCUUGGCCAGAAUGACUGCAGCUGAUGUCUACAGGACUGAAGAUGAUAAGCUGAGAUGACACCUGCUCCCAGGGGCCACAGAGCCACGAUCUGUAGAUCUGUGAGGUCACCAGGACCUCUAGGGUCAGACAGUUCCACAGAGGCUGAUUUUAUCAGAGGGUAGAGGACCUAGGGAGAGUUACGUGCGGGGCUCAAAGCACAUCACAUUUGCUUCCCAGAGAGGGCUUGGGUGCUUCCCUUUUCUUUAUGGUAAUGGGUCCAAGUCUGGGCUCAAUGUGUAGCCCACAGGUCUCUGUACUGGUCAAGGAGGUGACACCAGCGGUCUGUUGGUCCCACACCUCCUGCCCUGAUGUGUCCCAGAACCAAAUCUGGUGUGAGAAUGCCAGACCUGUCCUUAUGUCUGUGAAAGAUUUAAAGUGUUUUGAAACCAACUAUGUAGAGCUUCCAGAGGGGAAUAGAUGGCAUAUUGACACAGAAACAGCUAACUGGGACCAGCUGCACCCUUCACUCACCAUCACCUGCGCCAUCAAGAGGAAUGACAUUGUAGGGAACAAGGUGAGGGCCAUGGGAGCUCUGAACCUGGAAAUGUGCUGGUCACCACCAUUCUGGACAAGAGCCUGCUUGUUCCCCCGCACCUGCAGAAAUCAGCUUCCCUGUUGACUGGGGCACAAAUCUGUAAUAGCCACAUACCUGCCCUCGGGGUACAGUCUUACUGGGAGCCCUAGACCUGCCCAUAGGAGGCCAUUCUAGACACAGCCAUGAACACAGAGCAGAGUUCCGACUACAGGCCACCAGAGACCAGCUUCCCGCACAGCUCUAGGCCUCAGCAAGCCAGAGUCACCCUGAGCUAUAUUUACUUGCCUCCAACAUGGUCCCUGCCCUAUCUAUGCAUCUUGCAUUUUCUCUAAGUAUCCGACAUCCAAAACAGGGCUGGGCAUAGUGUAGGCAGGCAGGAAUGUUUAGUGUGUGAAUGGAUGAAUGGAUGGAUG